This 421-nucleotide ribosomal RNA is filed under the name uncultured bacterium. RNAcentral describes it as "partial 16S ribosomal RNA". It matches the Rfam family "Bacterial small subunit ribosomal RNA", at positions 360 to 773 of the family's 1533-position model. The record is from RNAcentral.
AAUAUUGGACAAUGGGUGCAACCCUGAUCCAGCCAUGCCGCGCGUGUGAAGAUUGUCUUCGGAUUGUAAAUUACAUUAAGUUGGGUGGAAGGGCUUUAGGCUAAUACCCUGAAGUCUUGACGUUACCAACAGAAUAAGCACCGGCUAACACUGUGCCAGCAGCCGCGGUAAUACAGAGGGUGCAAGCGGUAAUCGGAAUUACUGGGCGUAAAGCGAGCGUAGGUGGUUCAGUAAGAUGGGUGUGAAAUCCCCGGGCUUAACCUGGGAACUGCUUUCAUAACUGCUGAGCUAGAGUACGGUAGAGGGUAGUGGAAUUUCCUGUGUAGCGGUGAAAUGCGUAGAUAUAGGAAGGAACACCAGUGGCGAAGGCGACUACCUGGACUGAUACUGACACUGAGGUGCGAAAGCGUGGGGAGCAAAC